RNAcentral lists this non-coding RNA (31 nucleotides) under Mus musculus (house mouse). Lineage: Eukaryota; Metazoa; Chordata; Mammalia; Rodentia; Muridae. The record is from RNAcentral.
CCACCAGGAAGCCAAGAGGCAGGUGUCCAGA